UCAAGAUCUGUUUAAUUUCUCUUUGGGGGUUUUAAUUCUCUCCAUCUAUUUUUAAAUAUAUAAUAGAAUUGAUUUUUUAUCAUCAAUUUUCAUACCUUUUUCCUAAUAUCAAUUGAAAUAUUCAUGCUUAAACCAAAGCAUUAAAAUUAAAAAACAUCAACAUUUCAUUAACCGUGAAAAAUACUAUGACAAAGUAGUAUCAUAUGUCAUCAAGCUAAAUUAGAACAUAGUUAACCGUCUAUAUUAGUCAGCUAUUACAUUGUCCUAAUACAUCCACUUCAAUUAAAAUGAAUCUCAAUGGUUGUCACUGAAAUUACUAGCACCAGAAGAUCUUCUUGCAUCCGUCGGUGAAACAGGUCCACUAGCUGCAUCACUUGGCUGCAAUAAAAAGUAAAAAAAAAAAUACAAGUAUUAAGAGGAGUAUCAGGAAACAAUUCAUUGAGAUAAAAUAUAUAUUGUCUACUUAAACCAAUAAAAAAGACUGAAACAGGACAAGGUACGAAGCCUCUAGUCUAAAAGGUAGACGUUAUGCAACACAAACACAAAGAAAAUAAAGCAUUUGUUUAAUAAGUGAUACAACACUUGGCAGAAUUCAUGUAGACUAUUACUUCUUCCUUUUGAAUUACUAUCAUCUAACUUCGACCAGAAUGUUCUGUUAUAGUGAUCCUUUGAACAAAGAAUUGGUUUUCUGCAGGUUUUGGGGGCUGGCUUGAAGUAAAAUUGUAAAAUACUAGCUGGUUUUAGAGCUGAAAUUGACAUGUAUGAAAAAUAAAAUUGUACAAUACACCAAAAAUAAAAGAACUUAUCAUUUACCGUUGUAGGAGAAGCAAAGAUCCCAGAAAAUUGUUCUGGUAUUGACCUUUCCUUCAUUAUCAUGUAUAAUUUGAGAGUAUUCAUCAAUUGAUUGUACUUCUCUUGGCAUCCAGAAGAAGAACAUCCAACAUUAUUACUCACAAUUCUUAUAUUACCAAGACGAAGAUUUGUCUCUCUGAAAGUAUUGCUUGGAGUAGCUCCUAAUCCCAAACAUCCCACCCUUCUACGAUGCUCUUUGCCUAGCACCUUACGAACAACAUCAUUUGGAGAAAUUUCAGACUCAUCCACUGUACUUUCACUCACUGCUAGCUCAAUUUUUUCCUAAACACAAUACCCAUCAAAAAAAUCUCAGCGAACAUUAUAACUGUAUAUUUUACCGCCUGAAUCAGUAACCCGAAAAAGAAAGGUCGCUACUGCUAUUGCCGACACUAUUAAUCUGACAAUUACCCUAAUACUGUAAUACUAUAUUAAAUUCCAGGUUUCAAAUGUGAAAAUUAGAAAAAAAGCAACUAAAGAAGAAAAUGAAAAACACAUUAUUAAUGGUAAGCAUGUAUGUAGUAAUUGUUGAGACAUAUCUAAAGGCCCACAGCACAGUUAAAGGCUACACACCCACCCUAUAUUCAAAACGUUGUUAUCACUUUCUCCUCGUUGAAAACUCUCUUUUCCCACUUUGCCCCACGACUACCACACUUUCCUUCACAUGUUUUUGUCAUGUUCAAUAAAUUACAACUACACCAAAUUAAAUAAAAUACAGUGCCAGUUUAUUAGUAGAUCAUUUUCAUGCAUUUCUCAUGGACCGGGCACAAGGCAACUUUACAACACAGUAAGAGUCAAUAGGACCAAACAAAAAUCAAUUUAUUUGUCUAAGAAAGUUGUGGAUAACAACUUCUUUGCCAUUGCUAUUGGAGAAGAUUAAAUAAAAGAUAUCAGCUUGAAAUCCUAAAAAACCCAAAAAAAAAUGAAGAGAAAAGACUCUUAACAUAUUCCAAAAGCAAGAUUAACAUAGUCAGUUCUCUUUUAUUAGACAGAAAAUAUGAAUACAAAAUAUUAAGCAAUAAAUACAUACAACAAAAAGCUAUCUAUAAUCAUAAACACUACAAAAUUGAAAAUUUCGCAACAGAGAAUGAUUUGCAUAGUCAUAGUCACAUGUCCCAACAAUAAUAAGUAGAUUCAAAGACAUGAAAGUCAAACAAACUAUAAGCAUCAUGAUAUAAAAUAAAUUUACUGUAAGUUAUCAGAAGGAAACAAUUUACUGUAAAAUAUCUGUCACAAAGCAUCUAAUUUGGAGAAAUUAAUAGGAUAAAAGUACUUGAUCUAAAAUAUAAUGAUUUGAUUAUGUCAUUAAUCUAAAUAUUCAUAUAUAAAGAAUCUGUUAUUUAAAUUCCUUUACUAUAUAAGAAAAUAUGUGGCAUAUAAAUACAAAAAUCUCAUAGAACAUAGAAAUUUUGGAAAACUCCUAUAGAUCAGGAAAAAAAUAAGCAUAAAUAUGGAGCAACUCUUGUCCAACACUAUUUAUAAGUAUAUCCGAAGUUAUUUAUGGACUAAACGUGAAUUGAUUUCAACAAUAUAUCUAACCAGACUAAUCAAAUAUUAAGAAACAAUGCACCACUUGCUCUCUCUUUUCCUUCUCAUCCACACUGCAUUCAACUAUAAUUUGAGAAUAUAACUUGGUUGAUUGAAUUGAAUGCAACACUACCCACCAACCAAUGCCACAGGUAAGUAGACAACUACCUCAUUUACCCUCUCUAUUUACUCCUAUUCACUGACAGUAUCUGCACGUAACCACUCUGUCGCUGCUCCAUGAUAUAUUUGUUAUGUACUUUCAUCCUAUAUAUACUCAACGUUGUUCCUCAGUCUUUAUUAUAGAAUACAGAAUUACAACAUUAUAUAUGAUGGAUACAAAUAGAGCAGGACUUGAUGAGUGCAGCGAGGAGAUCAAGAAAAUGAAGAUAAUGGAGUUAAAUGAUACUGGUUCUGAGGAAAAAAGUAGAUGUGAUAGAGGUAGAAGCUAUGAAAUGGUUCUAAGAAUGAUGGGAUUAAUUUUCACACUAGUAGCGGCUAUUGUGGCUGCCACCAACAAAGAUACUCAGGAUGUUCCCAUAACUCUUGUAGACGGCUUACCUCCUUUGAGCAGAACCUUUUUCUCAAUUACUUUUUAAAUAGUUUGAAAGUUAACUAUGUGAUCUAUAAUAUUCUUACAUAGUUUUUCUAAGUAUGUAAAUUUUAUUUCAAAAUACUUGAAGAUUCUAUGUCUGCAUGCUCCGAAUCAAGCCAUUCCAAAAAUCCAACUAAAGUUCUUUUAGAAAAAAUGAAAGUGACCCAACAACAACCCACAACUCACAAGAAAAAUUGAAAGUGAAAAAUAUUUUCCCUCUCUAAUUUCACCUAAAAAUCAAAUUUACCCACCAACUCGAAGGAGCAUAAUUUCCUGUGCAUUUCUAGCCUUUUCUUUAUAAACAAGCCUUUGUUUUCACUAAUAAAGGACACAAUAAGCAGAAAGAAGUUUGACAGGAUGUAACAAGCGGAUACUAGGAUCAAAGAGAAUCACCAUCGAACAGAAAUAGAACAUCUUCAACACUCCACAAAGGCAUCUGUUGUUAUUCAGAAUAUCAUUGCACUAAUAAAAACAACAAUUGUGCAAUUAAUUCCUUAAGUAUCAAUUUUUUAUGUUUUAAUUUCAGCACUCCCCAAACAACUAUCAAAUUAAGAAACAGAAAGAACAGAUAAAAGUAAGAAAUUAUAGAAACGAAACAUAUUCGGUACUCAAACAGGGGGCAUAAACCCUAGUAAAAAUCACAUAAAACCAGUAUUAAAGAGAUAGAGGGAGAGAGAACGGAAGCAAACCCCAGAUGAGAAAACAAUUAAAAGAAAUGUAUCUCGAAAUAAGCUUAGGUGCAGAUAAAGAGCUUGCCUUGAGUGGUUAGCUUUCUGAUUGGAUCUCUUGUACACGAUGAGAAUCGGGCGGAAGUCUUCUGAUUGCCUUGAAUAGAUUUCAAUUAGGCAGAAGUUUUAAGGGAUUUCAAUCAAAACCAAGAGAUUGUGGUUUCCUGCACAGAGAGAGAGGGGGAGUCGAUUAGGCGGAAGUGUUAAAGGCGGAUGUUUCUAGACUGAAAAGGUUGGGGAAAAAAGGAGGGAGUGUGAAAUAAAUUGGGCGGGCGGAUGUUUCUAGACUGAAAAGGUUGGGGAAAAAAGGAGGGAGUGUGAAAUAAAUUGAGCGCUUUUUUUUUAGGGUUGCGGAAGUUUAUAACUCCCUUAAAUUGUAUAAUUUU
This 4082-nucleotide long non-coding RNA is filed under the name Nicotiana tabacum (common tobacco). RNAcentral's name for it is "long non-coding RNA (NTAB_LNC013726)". Lineage: Eukaryota; Viridiplantae; Streptophyta; Magnoliopsida; Solanales; Solanaceae. The record is from RNAcentral.